UGCACGAAUGGCGUAACGACUUCUCAACUGUCUCAACCAUAGACUCGGCGAAAUUGCACUACGAGUAAAGAUGCUCGUUACGCGCGGCAGGACGAAAAGACCCCGGGACCUUCACUAUAGCUUGGUAUUGGCGUUUGGUUCGGUUUGUGUAGGAUAGGUGGGAGACUGUGAAGCAGGCACGCCAGUGUUUGUGGAGUCAUCGUUGAAAUACCACUCUGAUCGUAUUGAACCUCUAACCUCGGACCGUAUAUCCGGUCCAGGGACAGUGCCUGGUGGGUAGUUUAACUGGGGCGGUUGCCUCCCAAAAUGUAACGGAGGCGCCCAAAGGUUCCCUCAACCUGGACGGCAAUCAGGUGUUGAGUGCAAGUGCACAAGGGAGCUUGACUGCGAGACCUACAAGUCAAGCAGGGACGAAAGUCGGGACUAGUGAUCCGGCACCUCUGAGUGGAAGGGGUGUCGCUCAACGGAUAAAAGGUACCCCGGGGAUAACAGGCUGAUCUUCCCCAAGAGUCCAUAUCGACGGGAUGGUUUGGCACCUCGAUGUCGGCUCGUCGCAUCCUGGGGCUGGAGCAGGUCCCAAGGGUUGGGCUGUUCGCCCAUUAAAGCGGCACGCGAGCUGGGUUUAGAACGUCGUGAGACAGUUCGGUCUCUAUCCGCCGCGCGCGUCAGAAACUUGAGGAAACCUGUCCCUAGUACGAGAGGACCGGGACGGACGAACCUCUGGUGUACCAGUUGUUCCACCAGGAGCACGGCUGAAGC
RNAcentral lists this ribosomal RNA (759 nucleotides) under Mycobacteroides abscessus subsp. bolletii. Its description in RNAcentral is "bacterial LSU rRNA". It matches the Rfam family "Bacterial large subunit ribosomal RNA", at positions 1989 to 2749 of the family's 2925-position model. The record is from RNAcentral. Lineage: Bacteria; Bacillati; Actinomycetota; Actinomycetes; Mycobacteriales; Mycobacteriaceae.